GAGUGGUCACAUGCUAUCCAAGUAACUAAGAUUAAAAAGCAACUGAGCUGUCAUAAGCCCAAGAUGCCAAUAAGGCCUCCACGUCAAAGAAGAUCUUAGAACAACGAUUAAUUGAACUCCACGAAAGCCAGGGCCCAAACUGGGAUUAGAUACCCCACUAUGCCUGGCCCUAAAUCUUGAUGCUUACAGCUACUAAAGCAUCCGCCCGAGAACUACGAGCACUAACGCUUAAAACUCUAAGGACUUGGCGGUGUCCCAAACCCACCUAGAGGAGCCUGUUCUAUAAUCGAUGAUCCACGAUAUACCUGACCAUUCCUUGCCAAAACAGCCUACAUACCGCCGUCGCCAGCCCACCUCCCCUGAAAGCCCAACAGUGAGCGCAACAGCCCCACCACGCUAAUAAGACAGGUCAAGGUAUAGCCUAUGGAAUGGUAGUAAUGGGCUACAUUUUCUAAAUUAGAACAUAACGGCAAAGGGGUAUGAAACAACCCCUAGAAGGCGGAUUUAGCAGUAAAGUGGGACAAUCGA
This 528-nucleotide ribosomal RNA is filed under the name Pipilo erythrophthalmus. RNAcentral's name for it is "partial 12S ribosomal RNA". It matches the Rfam family "Bacterial small subunit ribosomal RNA", at positions 565 to 1354 of the family's 1533-position model. The record is from RNAcentral. Lineage: Eukaryota; Metazoa; Chordata; Aves; Passeriformes; Passerellidae.